GAUCAUGGCUCAGGAUGAACGCUGGCGGCGUGCUUAACACAUGCAAGUCGAACGAAGCUAAGGGAGCUUGCUCCCAAAGCUUAGUGGCGGACGGGUGAGUAACGCGUGGGUAACCUGCCCUAUAGAGGGGGAUAACGUUCGGAAACGAACGCUAAUACCGCAUAAACCAUAAGGAGCUGCAUGGCUCUGAUGGCAAAGAUUUAUCGCUAUAGGAUGGACCUGCGUUGGAUUAGCUAGUUGGUGAGAUAACAGCUCACCAAGGCGACGAUCCAUAGCCGGCCUGAGAGGGUGAACGGCCACAUUGGGACUGAGACACGGCCCAAACUCCUACGGGAGGCAGCAGUGGGGAAUAUUGCACAAUGGGCGCAAGCCUGAUUGCAGCGACGCCGCGUGAAGGAAGAAGGUCUUCGGAUUGUAAACUUCUAUCAGCAGGGAAGAAUAAAUGACGGUACCUGACUAAGAAGCCCCGGCUAACUACGUGCCAGCCGCCGC
RNAcentral lists this ribosomal RNA (492 nucleotides) under uncultured bacterium. Its description in RNAcentral is "bacterial SSU rRNA". It matches the Rfam family "Bacterial small subunit ribosomal RNA", at positions 15 to 518 of the family's 1533-position model. The record is from RNAcentral.